Molecule: long non-coding RNA, 13003 nt
Organism: Armigeres subalbatus
Lineage: Eukaryota; Metazoa; Arthropoda; Insecta; Diptera; Culicidae
Exons: 2
Source: RefSeq, a predicted model, not a curated record
UUUCGGAUAUUAUUCAGCAACAAAGCAAUAAUUUUCUAUUGUUUUAAAUUAUUUAAAUAAACAUAUAUGAAGUACAAUUUACUUUCUCCACUACUUAAAACACUUCUUCCAUACUCUCUUUGCUUUUUAUACAUUCAUUGUCAUUAUUCCAUUUUCCUGUGGACCCUCAGAAGGGGUUUUUGCAUCGUUUCUCGUUUAUAUCAACCUCAUGCAUGGAUAUAGUUUCUCACAAAAUUAAAAAAAACUAAGCACAAUCAAUAAUUCUACGCGAAUAUAAUGGGACUGAUCGAAUCAGUCGUUGCUUCAUUUCAAUUUUGAAAACCGCACAGUGCUUAUCAGCGAUUUCGUUUUACUGCUUCGACGACGUCUAUCAAUGUUGUUAUCCACUUUUCCUGUUUGAAUGAACUUUUCGGACUGUAUCUCGAGAACUGGAGUACCUUGGUAUCUACAUUCUACAGGUAUUAUGUAUUAUGCACUGCACAUCCAUUUUCUAUAUUAUGUAUGUACCCGAUGGGUUUCUACAAUAUCACAAUGUAAGAAAUUUGAUUUCGACGGGCCAUGCAGUUCAGCGUGUCAGUUGCCAGUACUUUAUGCGAUACUGAUUCCCUUUUACGAAUAAUAGGAAAUAAUCCUUUGAUGGUACUUAUAAAAUGUUAAAAUGGUCUAUUUUUGAUUUAACAUUAUAUUUCUCAGAAAAAAAAUCAACGUAAGGCCUAAGGUUUCAUUAUGGAAAAAAGUAAAUCAAAAGAAAAGUAUUAUGGAAAAUCAAAAUUUGAUAAUACGCAUGAAUGUUUCUCAUUUGGAAUAAUAAUCCUCCUACAUAGACGAGAGGGCAGCAGGGACUAUGUCCAAGGGCUUGACGAUCCCUCCCCAGGCCAUCUGCGAGUUCUGGCGCCUGCCUAGGAUGUGGUGGGGUUUGACAGUGGGCCCUGUUAAACCUCUAUAAAAAGCUGCAUGUAUCCGCAAGUAGGCUCCGCCAAAGCGACCGUGUGCCGCUCAAAGCGCACAAGCCCAAGUCCUGGUGUUAGGUGGGACGCUAAACAGCCCUGACACGACGGCCCUCCGACGAGACAGGAGGUUUGCGCAGGCCCAAUAAGCCGCCUUUAAAAACAACUAUUACGAACGACAUAGAAGAUAAUACGACUCGAUACAAUCGGCAACGACCUAGGCGACGAAUAAAGGAUCACGAUUGGAAGCUUGGAACAUGGAACUGCAAGUCGCUAGGCUUCGCAGGUUGCGAUAGGAUAAUCUACGAUGAAUUACAUCCCCGUAACUUCGAUGUCGUAGCGCUGCAGGAAAUCUGCUGGACAGGACAGAAAGUGUGGAAAAGCGGGCAUCGAGCGGCUACCUUCUACCAAAGCUGUGGCACCACCAACGAGCUGGGAACCGGCUUCAUAGUGCUGGGAAAGAUGCGCCAACGCGUGAUUGGGUGGCAGCCAAUCAACGCAAGAAUGUGCAAGCUGAGGAUAAAAGGCCGUUUCUUCAACUAUAGCAUCAUCAACGUGCACUGCCCACACGAAGGGAGAUCCGACGACGAGAAAGAAGCGUUCUAUGCGCAGCUGGAGCAGACAUACGGUGGAUGCCCACUGCGGGACGUCAAAAUCGUCAUCGGUGACAUGAACGCUCAGGUAGGAAGGGAGGAAAUGUAUAGACCGGUCAUCGGACCGGAUAGUCUCCAUACCGUAUCGAACGACAACGGCCAACGAUGCAUAAACUUUGCAGCCUCCCGCGGAAUGGUAGUCCGAAGCACUUUCUUCCUCCGUAAGAAUAUCCACAAGGCCACAUGGAAAGCACCUAAUCAAGUAAUGGAAAACCAAAUCGACCACGUUCUAAUCGACGGUAAAUUCUUCUCCGACAUCACGAACGUACGCACUUACCGCAGUGCGAAUAUUGAAUCCGACCACUACCUCGUCGCAGUAUGUCUGCGCUCAAAACUCUCGACGGUUAUCAACACGCGUCGGAGUCGUCCGCCGCGGCUAAACAUUGGGCGGCUACAAGACGGUAGACUAGCCCAAGACUACGCGCAGCAGCUGGAAGUGGCACUCCCAACGGAAGAGCAGCUAGGCGCAGCAGCUCUUGAAGAUGGCUGAAGAGAUAUUCGAUCCGCCAUUGGAAGCACCGCAACCGCUGCACUAGGCACGGUGGCUCCGGAUCAGAGGAACGACUGGUAUGACGGCGAAUGUGAGCAGUUAGUUGAGGAGAAGAAUGCAGCAUGGGCGAGAUUGCUGCAACACCGCACGAGGGCGAACGAGGCACGAUACAAACGGGCGCGGAACAGACAAAACUCGAUUUUCCGGAGGAAAAAGCGCCAGCAGGAAGAUCGAGACCGUGAAGAGACGGAGUAACUGUACCGCGCUAAUAACGCACGUAAGUUCUAUGAGAAGUUGAACCGUUCACGUAAGGGCUACGUGUCACAGCCCGAUAUGUGUAAGGACAUAAACAGGAACCUUCUUACGAACGAGCGUGAGGUGGUCCAAAGGUGGCGGCAGCACUACGCACCUGAAUGGCGAUAUGGCAGACAACGGUGGCGGUAUGGUAAUGAACCUAGGAGCACGCGCGCAGGACAUGCGACUUCCGGCUCCGAAUCUCCAGGAAAUCCAGGAGGAGAUCGGCCGGCUGAAAAACAACAAAGCCCCUGGAGUUGACCAACUACCAGGAGAGCUGUUUAAACACGGUGGUGAAGCACUGGCUAGAGCGCUGCACUGGGUGAUUACCAAGGUUUGGGAGGAUGAGGUUCUGCCGCAGGAGUGGAUGGAAGGUGUCGUGUGUCCCAUCUACAAAAGGGCGAUAAGCUGGAUUGUAGCAACUACCGCGCAAUCACAUUGCUGAACGCCGCCUACAAGGUACUCUCCCAAAUUUUAUGCCGUCGACUAACACCAAUUGCAAGAGAGUUCGUGGGGCAGUACCAGGCGGGAUUUAUGGGUGAACGCUCUACCACAGACCAGGUGUUCGCCAUACGUCAGGUAUUGCAGAAAUGCCGCGAAUACAACGUGCCCACACAUCAUCUAUUUAUCGACUUCAAAGCCGCAUAUGAUACAAUCGAUCGGGACCAGCUAUGGCAGCUAAUGCACGAAAACGGAUUUCCGGAUAAACUGAUACGGUUGAUCAAGGCGACGAUGGAUCGGGUUAUGUGCGUAGUUCGAGUUUCAGGGGCAUUCUCGAGUCCCUUCGAAACCCGUUACGGCAAGGUGAUGGUCUUUCGUGUCUGCUAUUCAACAUCGCUUUGAAGGGAGUAAUACGAAGGGCAGGGAUUGACACGAGUGGUACGUUUUUCACGAAGUCCGUCCAGUUAUUUGGUUUCGCCGACGACAUUGAUAUCAUGGCACGUAACUUUGAGAGGAUGGAGGAAGCCUACAUCAGACUGAAAAGCGAAGCUAAACGGAUUGGACUAGUCAUCAACACGUCGAAGACGAAGUACAUGAUAGGAAGAGGCUCAAGAGAGGUCAAUGUGAGCCACCCACCACGAGUUUAUAUCGGUGGUGACGAAAUCGAGGUGGUUGAAGAAUUCGUGUACUUGGGCUCACUGGUGACCGCCGAUAACGAUACCAGCAGAGAAAUUCGGAGACGCAUAGUGGCUGGAAAUCGUACGUACUUUAGACUCCGUAAGACGAGCGAUCGAAUAGAGUUCGCCGCCGUACCAAACUGACUAUCUACAAAACGCUUAUAAGACCGGUAGUUCUCUACGGACACGAGACCUGGACGAUGCUCGUGGAGGACCAACGCGCACUGGGAGUUUUCGAAAGGAAAGUGUUGCGUACCAUCUAUGGUGGGUUGCAGAUGGCGGACGGUACGUGGAGGAGGCGAAUGAACCACGAGUUGCAUCAGCUGUUGGGAGGACCACCCAUCGUUCACACCGCGAAAAUCGGAAGACUGCGGUGGGCCGGGCACGUAGCCAGAAUGUCGGCCAGUAAUCCGGUGAAAAUGGUCCUCGACAACGAUCCGACGGGAACAAGAAGGCGAGGUGCACAGCGGGCAAGGUGGAUCGAUCAGGUGGAGGACGACUUGCGGACCCUCCGCAGACUGCGUGGUUGGCGAAGUGCAGCCAUGAACCGAGCUGAAUGGAGAAGUCUUUUAUGUGCAGCACAGGCCACUCCGGCCUUAGUCUGAUGAUAAAUAAAUAAAUGAAUUCACUGAAUCAGCACCUUCUUAUAUGCAACAUUGGUCAAAAUGCUCGGAGCGGUGGGUGUAGUUGACCUCCAGAAAAGUCAAAUCAGAGACUGACCCGCAGGCAGGCUGGCGGCCAUUACCGCUCGCGGAAAACUGGAUAUCACUCUCACUCACUCACUUACUUUCACUCUCACUCACUCUCACUCAUUCACUCUCUCUCACUCACUCAAUCUCACACGCACACUCAUUUAAUCACUCACUCACUCAUUCUUACUCACUCACUUCCACUUACUCCCCCUUAAUCACUCACUCUUACUCACUCUCUCUCACUCACUCAAUCUCACACGUACACUCAUUCUCACUGACUCACUCCCACUUAAUCACUCACUCUUACUCACUCUCUUUCACUCACUCAUCCUCACUCACUCACUCACUCAAUCACUUACUCUUUCACUCACUCAGUCUCACACAUACACACUCAUUUUCACUAACUCACUAAUUCUCUCCCACUCGCUCACUUUCACUCAAUCACUCGUUUACUCACUCCUUCAUUCUCACUCGCUCACUAACUCUUACCCUCACUUUCCCACUAAGUCACCCUCACUCACUUUCACGUGUGAGUGAACCCAUUUUCUCUUUCUCACUCUCCCACUCAAUAUCUCCCUUUAUCUUUCCCUCUUCUCGCUCGUAUGUGUUUGUAUAAAAAAAUCCGUACCAAAACCCAGAAGCACGGGCGCGGAUACGCAGAUUCUCAAAACCCGAACCAAAAUCCUGAAGUGUAAACCCAAUCACGGAAAAUGUUUCAACAGUGGGCACUUAUCGGUGGAAGAUUUUCCCCUACAAAACCCGGAGCAGAAUCCCGUAACAAAUCCCGCGGACACGUUUUCCGAACUGAAAACCAGCCUUAAGAUAUCAACGCAGCGGCUAUUUGACUAUGCAAUGCACACGACGUUAAGGCUCAAGAAAAGUUAGGCAAUGAAAAGGGCUUUCUGAAUGAUUUACCACCGGCGUUGUGUCGUCUGUCUCUUUCCGCACUUCGAAAAAUUGUGAUUGUGGUAGUACAACACCGAGAAAUACCACAAAUACUCAUUCAAAAAAUACGGAUUUAUGUCGUGGUUUGAUGCCAAUCUUUGUUCCCCUUUAACACACGAAGCUAUUUCCCGAAUUUUCUCGCUAUUGACAAAUAAGAAGCGAUAGAGCCUUUUCCACUUUAUGGAGGGCCGUAAGUGUUGACUUACGUGACUGGUAAGUGUGGUAGUAGCGGAUUGUGUUAAAAUAAUAAUCGGAGAUACGAAAUGAAAGCAUGAAUUAUUUGAAUGAGAUUUAAAUUUCUAAAUCGAAGCAAUCGGCGUUCGAAUAGACCAAUGCAAGAUCUUGACUUAACCUCACUUAUUUGACAGUUCACAGAGCUUGUUUACAGGGUGUUAGAAUUAAAAUCGAUCAGCCGGAAAUAAAAAUCCAUAAUUUUUGCUCAAAAUCAUUUUGAUCCGAAUAUUCUAGUGAUAUGCUUUAAUUCCUACCAUAAAUCAAUCACGAAAGACAUCAAUAUUCUUAAUUAAUCGCAAAGCAGUUUUUCCGGAGGCUGCUCCAGAGACUAAGUCCCUGUAAACAAGCUCUGUGAACUGUCAACCUACGUCAUCAUGCACUGGUCUAUAGUAGGCGCCCAUUAGCACACGAAUAUGAACUCGAUUGACAGAACGAAACAAAGAACGAGACGAUACUAAUUCGAAUAUUGGGUAUGUAUCACUAGAGCUACUCGUUCUGUCAGAGCAUACUUGUGGGUACACAGCCCAUGAUAAUACAGUUAUUCGACGGAUGUCCUACGGAUAUUCGCUCGGCCCCAACAGUAAGCAACAAUGGAUGUUUGAUCAUGUAAUUUGAGUUGAUACAAUCACUCAACACUUUUUACAUACUUUUCAACAGAACUGAUGAAAGACUAAUGGACCUGAAUGACCUAUUAGAUACGUCUUAUCUCGCUUUCCUACUUUUGGUAUAAAGAUUACUUUUACUUGCCUCCAUGAAGAUGGAAUAUAGUUGAGUCUUAGACUCUCAAUUAAUGGUGGAUUCAGCACUGAUUCGCCGUUUCAAAGCAUUGCUGAAAUUAUUCCGUCCGGUCCUGCAGAUUUAAGGUUCCCCCAAACACAAGCGACGCGAUUCUAUCGAUUGAUGACUACGAUUCUGUCGCCGUUGGUAUGGAAGCGUAAAUAGAACAUUACCUGCAGCGAGCCAACGAUAGAAUCGCGGAGACUAGUUGUCGCCGUCGCGGUGAUGAAAUCGCUUAGGUCUGGGCAAGCCUUCAUCAGUCUGGAAAAAAUCCCACUGCAUUAUCUACCCGGGCAUUCGUAAAGACAUCGUCAGUCAAGACUUGUGCAACAUUUUUCGCAUCAUCAGACAUUUUAGUUGUUCUUACUGAACAUCUUAGUCUUUCAAACGAACCACUUGUUAUUGGGUCUACACAGAGUGUAAAAUAAUCGAAUUUUUUUGGUGAAGUUCAUUCUUCUUCACUUGUCAGUUCACUUCCAACACAUUCAUAGUCGGCUCUGAACAGUCAAUAUUCAGUUGAAUAUUAGUCAUUGAAUAUUUAUGCACAUUUUACAAAGUGAUAAAUUAUCUGAAAUCUGAACACGUUUCAAAUGAGUAAAGUGAUUUAUCACACAGGACUGAACCAUAUUUUUAUCCGCGAGGCACUUUCAACGGCAAACAUCAACAUAAACAAUGCUAAUUAUGUUUUUUUCCGCACAUAGUAAACACACUCAGUGACAGUCGAAUGAAUGAGUUCGUGGAGUAGUCGUCUGACUAUGUCAUUCUAUGUUUUGAAUAUUCAUGCGAUGUUUGUCAAAAUUCGGACCGAAUUUGCUUCAUGAAGAUGAAUAUUUCAAGCUCUGGGUCUACAUACAUAAUCGAUCCAGGAAAAUGGGUUUCCAUAUAAUCCGCUUUUAUGUUUCACCAGAAGUUUUUGUGGAAAACCCAUCCUCUUGUUUCAGAUUCCCCAGCUCAUUCGUAUGAUCUUUUGCAAGUACCCUCUGAAGUCUCGGGACUUCUGGAGUUUUGUUAAUAUUUUCAAACGUUUGAACCAAUUAGUAAUAGAGAGAUUAUUUUUUCGGUGUACAACAUUUUGUCGCCAUUUUUGUCUGCUUGAUAAGUCGGAAAAUAACAAGCAGUUGAAGCAUCUGUUUAUUUAUUUUAAAGCAGCGUACGGCUCGGUGAAAAAUCAUUCACAGGACAGUAGUGGAAGCUGUUGUCGCACUGAAGAGAAAGGGAGGCUUAAUUAUUAACUCUAUGAAAACAGGUUUAUGGUUGCGGAUAGCGACAUAUCUACAGGGGAUAGGUAAAUUUUGGGUAAAAUUAGAUGCGUUGUAACUAUGUCAGUUAUCAUUCGAUUUUAACAAUUCAGGGAUGCCUGAACUGUGUAAGUGUUGGUUAUGUUAUGUGAUGAGUGUUACCGAGAAAUUCGUGUAAUUUUAGUGUUAUGCGUGAAUUGUUUGUGAAUGGCAGGUAAAACUCGUCCUUAUGUGUAGUAUAGAUAGUAGAAUCUAUAGAUGAGCGAAAGCAUGGCUGAGUCGAUUUUUUUGCCCGUGCGCACGCGCAAAUGACGUCACAGCCCUUAACGUUUCCAUUGAAAUCGUGACGUCAUGCUCGUUUGGAGACACGUUUGACAGUUCGUUUGGAGACAGAGGAUUUAUCUUCGCUCAUCUUUCCAUGUGCAGUAGCGACUACAGUAGAGCAGGGCGUGAUUAGCCUCCACCACCCUAGAAGACCGCAGCCAACCACUCACCAUAGUCCUCCCACCCUACACCAGAAGUCCAGAAGCACCAUCGUCGAGCAGCCAUGAAGGGGUGGCGUAAUCGGGUUGAUGCAAUGAUGCGAGGUGACUGACCUGAAAAAGGAGGUCAUGACCCUAGGAUGUGGGAAACAAGCCCAGAACCGGUCACUUAUCCAAUGCAUUUCGAAGUGAAAGGAUGAAAGUUUGAAAGCUAGCGAAAGUUACCGAGUAAGAAAAAGUUGAAAUGAGAGAGUUUGUGGAAGAAGACCAGGCGUAGAGGACGUCAGGUAACUUGAAGUGGCUGCAUCCGGAGACAGAAGCUGAUCCCAGCAUUUUCUCCUUCUCAGAACUACGCCGUUUUUAUGGUUAAAAAGAAAGGGUGGUUCAGAAAUAGUUGGAAAAUCUUCAAAGAUUGGCUACUUUUUCAAUAACUGGUGCAAGGAGAAGCACGCCGUGCUCCACGUGCUACCAUUGGGUCAAUUUAUUCAGUUAGAAGCAGAGAAGAGUGCUUUGAAGAUCAAAAGAGAUUCAAAACUCUUCGAAGGUGACCUAAAAGGACAUCUUAGUACUCUAAACAAAAUAAAUAUCAACUCACUUAUCAAAAACAAUGAUGACUGGAUGGGGAGAAGAUACAACUUUUGUCGUUGAUGUAAUUAAUCUUGAGCGAAAUACAUGGGCAAACGGUGGACCAAAUCUUCGCUCAGGAUCAAUUGUAUUUUGCACCGAUGGUUCAAAGCUGAACAAUCAAGUUGGAGCAGGCGUGACUGGCCCAGGGAUAAAUAUGUCGAUUCCCAUGGGCAAAUGGCCAACUGUUUUCCAAGCUGAAGUUCAGGCUAUUCUUGAAUGCUCUAAAUUAUGCCUACGCAGAAAUUAUAGGCAUUCAAAUAUUUGCAUAACCCAACUAACAUUUAAUGUCAAUGUAAAUGUUAUUUCAACUCGUCUAUACGGCUUCAAGCUGAAUAUGUGUGCUAUACGUAUGAUCAAGAACUUCUAUUCAAUGCUUUUACCAGCAAAUCUGGCGAAUCUAUUCAGCUGUUUUUUGCGUGCCUGCACAACUACUUUACAGCAUGUUACACAAUUUUGUCUCAAUCUUUAUUAAACCAUUUAGUAAGUAAUAUAAUUCGCUUCAAUGGCGCUUUUAUUCAGAUUUUUUAAAUCUGUUAAAUAAGUUUUAUACAGCCACUGAAUUCAUUUUGAUUAAAUAUUAUUUGAGAGGAGAGUAAAUUUCGGAGUUUAUUUAAUGUUUUUUUUUGUGAAAACUCAAAUAUCAAUUUUGUUGCUACCUAGAUUCGAACUCCUGAUCUCCUGAUUCAAUGGCCGCUGCUCUGUCAUCACCGUCACUUUGACAUAUGUAAAUAACAAAGAAAAUUAUGGAUGUGCUUCUUCGCACAUCCUAUAGGUUGUUUUACUAACGCAAUUUUCAGAUUCAUGCUGUAUAAACGUUAGAAAGAGGCAUACAUGCUGCUUUCAGCACAUAAGCUUAAAAAGUAUGCUUUCAGCAUUAUUUCAACCAUUAUUCAAACAUCUGUCAGCAUGUUCUGUGGGCUAACUUUUAUGCAUCAUCAAUCGCUGAAACUGUUUUAGGCAACAUUUUCUCGAUCUGUAUAGAUGUUACUCUGCUGCUAAUCGUUUAACAGUAGCUGUCAACUUCUUCCGUCACUUCUAAAUGGCUUGUUUUCUUGCACUAUCUGCUAGCAUUAAUGACAGCGCUUUGUCAGUUGCUAUAAAAGCAGGUGAAUACCUUUGUAGCUGCGUUACAGAAAUCAAUAGCUCAUACACAGCUCCGGCAACAAAAAUCAAAUGUAAACAUUGCGGUUUUGACGUUCCAUACUGAUAAGCUAUUAAAAGGAGCAGUAUAAGGUUUACUUAAACGUUGUGUAAUCUUCAAAGAUACAGAAGUUGCCUAAAAGCUUCGUUAGUUCAUUUUUAGCGCCAUUACGCUAUAUUGUUAGUGCUAUAACAACAGCGAAAACAUUUUCAUUGUGAAUGCUACUCACCGUAAUAUAGGAAGUUGCUAACAAGCAACUUAAUUACAUACAUGAGCUCUUAACCGAUAAGCUUUGUUGCUAAUUCAGACAGAGCUGUUAUAUGACUAUAUGAAAGCUGCAUAAACGAUAAAAGAUGAAAUAUAUUCGGCACAAACUGACUAGCUGAUAGAUAUUUGGGUAAUAGUCGAGUUGAAGUUUAAGGGAUUAUUUGCGGAGGCUUUUCUUUUAUUCAGCAUUGGCUGCUUUUAUUCAGAUAUUAUUCAGCCAAAGGCUAGAAGUUGAAGCUUUUAGCACCAAAAUUGUUAGUUGGGAAUGUCUGACAGUCAAGCAGCAUUGAAUGCUUUGAAAUCAGCAAUAUGUAGAUCUAAACUCGUUUGGUAAUGUGUUCAGUCACUCCAAACCUUGAGUAGUCAUAACAAAGUGAAACUGUAUUGGGUUCCUGGUCAUUGUGGCAUGGAAGGCAAUGAACAAGCUGAUAUGCUGGCCAGACUUGGUUCAUCUCGACAAUUUUUAGGUCCCGAACCAUUUUGUGGUGUAUCUACGUGUUCUCUUCGAAUGGAACUCAAAUCUUGGGAACAUACAAAAAUAGAAGACAUUUGGAAAAACACAUUGAUUGCGAGGCAGUCUAAACGUUUUAUCACACCAAACGUAUUUAUCACUCGCAAAAUUUUAGAUCUUUCAAAAAAAGAUCUUAACACAUACACAGGCCUUAUAACAGGCCUUUGCCCGAGCCGAUAUCACUAGAAGCCAGUGGUGCAAUUUAUCAACAAUGCCUGCUGAGUGUGAUUCUUUUGUUUUGUAUUUUUCUCUGCUCCUCUUUGCCUAUGACGGUGCCUUUCAGUCAGAACGACAAAGCAGGAGUAGCUUAGCAAACUCGGUUUGCCAACAGCGGGCUGAAGCUGAUGAUCAUUCGGCACAAAUUUCCUGUCAUUGUCUUUCAAGUGAUAGUAAUCACCCAUGCAUUUAUAUAGGGCCGUCGCAUUCACACAGCAGCGAGUGAACUGAAUAGACCAUUUUCAGUUUUCACUGCUAGGAAGUGAGUGAAGAGGCAAUGGUAACAAUAUCCAAUAAAUUUCAUUGAUUGAUUGAUUGAUUGAGAAUUUGCACCACUGCUUGAAGCUGUUAGGAAAACUUCAAGAUGAUGUAUGUCGUUUCUGCGGCAUACAUGUAGAAGACUCGGAACAUCUGUUAUGCCAUUGUCCGGCAAUUUUUAGAUAGAGAUUAUAGUUCUUCAACAAGGGGCUGAUAGAACCCUCAGAAGUUUGGAGAACAAGUCCCAAUAUGGUAGUACGAUUCAUCAGAACCAUAAUACCGCAUUGGGAUAACGCUGGUAGUCAAGGUAAUGCAAUUGCUAUAAAUAGUAAUGAUGUGUCAACUUGUCAAAGCUAGAUCAAAUGGGGCAUAUACCACAAUAGAUCUAACAAAUGGUCGCAGUGAUUAAAAUAACCAACAAGGAAAAAAAUGGUUAAAAACCCCAUCGGGAACCGCCAUCGUACCCAGAUUCCAUUGUCGGCCUGAUUCGGCAUUGUUCCGCCGAAAGCCGUUCGGCCAUCUUAUUGGUCGUUUUGGACCGCAGUGAGAAGCGAGGUCGAGGAGUAUCCCCAAGCCAUUCCGGACGUUACUACCGGAUCCGUAGUGAGCAGAGUAACCGGCUACCGACGCGUAGGUGACCGAAGAAGGAAGGUAGAGAGGGAGUAGGAAGUCGCGAGGAGAAGAGUCCACCGCCGCCGCCACGUAGGCCGCCCAAGGGUGCAGGAAGCCUAGAUACCGUAGCGAGUUGGAGUAGAGCCGCCAACGCCGGCGUGAAUGCGCUUGCAAGGAAGGUAGAGGACGUGGAAGGACCGGAGUCAAACAAGGAAGAAGUGGAGUGGUGGAGUGCUGCCAGGAAGUGGGGCCCCAAGGAAGACAGGCUAGCUAGGCUUAAGAAAGUGCAAAGGUCAAUAAAGUAUCGCAAAGUGAAGCUCUGUGUGGUUUUCCCUACAUUUUGAUUGCGAGAGUUCCCUGCCCGCGAGUAGCUUGAGGUAAGCGUGCCGACUCUGAGGCCAUUGAUUCAGGGAGUCUCAGCAUAGCUCAGACCAUACAGAGAUAUUUUGGGUUUUCAGAGAUAGGUAAGAUUAGGAACCACAAAUAAAGUAGGGCUCUUGCCCGUUCAACCAUAUAUUGGGAUUGGAAUCGGACCAGAAUCAUGUGAGAUAUGGUAAUUUCUUUAUAAUCGGUUCCGAUCGGUAGUUUUCAAAGGGAUCAGACCACUAAUUAAUUUGAAUCACGAUAUUUGAAAAUUCGUCUACUAUGAUUUUAUCCUAGAAGGCUUUUAAUGUGUCAAGAAUGCAAAAAGAAUUGAAUAGAUGAAUCCUGGAGUCGCUGGGGUGCCCCCGGAGAACCUGUGGAAGAGCACAUUUCAAUUUAAGUGCCAAAACCAGCCAAUCGACGGCUCUUUUUUCCUGAUUUUUGAUCAGGAGGCAAAUUAUGAUUAUAAAAUGGAUCAAUGACGGCUCUGACCUCUCCCAAGACCUACGUAUUACCCCCGGGGAACCUGUGAAAGGGGACACCAUACACUGUUCACGCCGCGAAAAUCGGACUCUACGAAUAGAUCUUCUUCUUACGCAUUUGCUUUUUUUUUGUGGUUACUAUCCCAUGAUUUUUAAACCUGUUAUACCAAAUGAGAAAUUACCAUGCGUUUUUAUGUUAAAUUUCAAAUUUCAUUAUUUAACAUUGAUAUUCAUCAUGUACAAUUGCGUAGGAUUUUACAAAAAUAAAUAUCAACAUGUUUCAUAGCUUGUAGAAAUUCACAAAUACUGCGCGAUAUUAAUAUAUUAUCUGAUUCUCUGAACAGAAAAACCAUUGAUUUUAAUUAGCUUAGAGAAUUGAGAACUCGCAAACACUUUAAAAAAAACUUUAACUUUCGAGAUAUUCUUCUUUCCAUCAGAAACGCUAAUGUCGCGCAAUAUUAAAGAAUUGCAUUUUAUUUCCAUAAUUUCGAAUUGUGUUAAAAUUUUCACCUUUCCAAAACACAGUUUCGUCCAGGGGACUAUAUAAAUUAAAAAUAACUUUAAAAACUAUGUUACAUUCUGGAUUAUUUGCUUAAUUCCGGUGUACUUCGAAUCAGUACUAUUCAUAUCUCAUAAUAUCCUGCAUAGAAAAAAGC